UACAGAGGGUGCAAGCGUUGUUCGGAAUUAUUGGGCGUAAAGCGCGUGUAGGCGGCUUGGCAAGUCGGGUGUGAAAUCCCUCAGCUUAACUGAGGAAGUGCGCCCGAAACUGCCGAGCUUGAGUACCGGAGAGGGUGGCGGAAUUCCCCAAGUAGAGGUGAAAUUCGUAGAUAUGGGGAGGAACACCGGUGGCGAAGGCGGCCACCUGGACGGAUACUGACGCUGAGACGCGAAAGCGUGGGGAGCAAACGGG
Molecule: ribosomal RNA, 253 nt
Filed under: uncultured bacterium
Lineage: Bacteria
Description: partial 16S ribosomal RNA
Rfam family: Bacterial small subunit ribosomal RNA
Source: RNAcentral